This 406-nucleotide ribosomal RNA is filed under the name uncultured bacterium. RNAcentral describes it as "partial 16S ribosomal RNA". It matches the Rfam family "Bacterial small subunit ribosomal RNA", at positions 30 to 526 of the family's 1533-position model. The record is from RNAcentral.
AUUGAACGCUGGCGGCAGGCCUAACACAUGCAAGUCGAACGAGUGGCGGACGGGUGAGUCAUGGCUGGGAAACUGCCUGAUGGAGGGGGAUAACUACUGGAAACGGUAGCUAAUACCGCAUACCAUCGGAUGUGCCCAGAUGGGAUUAGCUAGUAGGUGGGGUAGAGGCUCACCUAGGCGACGAUCCCUAGCUGGGAUGAGGGGUGGACCAGACACACUGGAACUGAGACACGGUCCACACUCCUACGGGAGGCAGCAGUGGGUAAUAGUGCACAAUGGGCGCAAGCCUGAUGCAGCCAUGCCGCGUGUAUGAAGAAGGCCUUCGGGUUGUAAAGUACUUUCAGCGGGGAGGCGUUACCCGCAGAAGAAGCACCGGCUAUCUCCGUGCCAGCAGCCGCGGUAAUAC